Molecule: long non-coding RNA, 431 nt
Filed under: Rhinopithecus roxellana (golden snub-nosed monkey)
Lineage: Eukaryota; Metazoa; Chordata; Mammalia; Primates; Cercopithecidae
Description: lncRNA (ENSRROG00000046023.1)
Source: RNAcentral
CGGGGAGCCCGGGGGCCGCGCCGGGGGUGCCAGGUUCCCGCACACUGGAGUGGCGGCGCCUCCCCGUGGUGUCCCCGAGCCUGGGUCCUUUUUGGGACUGGCUCUGGCACUCCCAGGCACUCAGUCCAGUAGAGAAAUCCAGCAGGAGGCUUCCAGGUCGGACUCCUCCGAGGAGUAAGGAGAGGGAAGGGGCCUCACAAACACACCCAGGAGCAUCUGGCGACGGAGGAUGAGAAAAUAGAGUGACGGAUGUGGAGUCAGGGGUCUAAUCUCCCUGCAAGCCACCUGAUCUCCCUGGGCCUCUGUUUUCUCAUCUGUGAAAUGACAGGUUGGACGGCUUAGUCUCUGAGGCCUCAUCCAGUUCCACGGUAAGUCUGAUAAUCGUGAGUGUGCCUUUAAAUAGCCAGCUCAGGUAAUUACCUGACAGCUUC